RNAcentral lists this ribosomal RNA (510 nucleotides) under uncultured bacterium. Its description in RNAcentral is "partial 16S ribosomal RNA". It matches the Rfam family "Bacterial small subunit ribosomal RNA", at positions 28 to 507 of the family's 1533-position model. The record is from RNAcentral.
GACGAACGCUGGCGGCGUGCUUAACACAUGCAAGUCGAACGAAGAGCGAUGGAAGCUUGCUUCUAUCAAUCUUAGUGGCGAACGGGUGAGUAACGCGUAAUCAACCUGCCCUUCAGAGGGGGACAACAGUUGGAAACGACUGCUAAUACCGCAUACGAUCUGAUCUCGGCAUCGAGGAUAGAUGAAAGGUGGCCUCUACAUGUAAGCUAUCACUGAAGGAGGGGAUUGCGUCUGAUUAGCUAGUUGGAGGGGUAACGGCCCACCAAGGCGAUGAUCAGUAGCCGGUCUGAGAGGAUGAACGGCCACAUUGGGACUGAGACACGGCCCAGACUCCUACGGGAGGCAGCAGUGGGGAAUCUUCCGCAAUGGACGAAAGUCUGACGGAGCAACGCCGCGUGAGCGAUGACGGCCUUCGGGUUGUAAAGCUCUGUUAAUCGGGACGAAAGGCCUUCUUGCGAAUAGUGAGAAGGAUUGACGGUACCGGAAUAGAAAGCCACGGCUAACUACGUG